AAUGAAAUUAAAUAGCAUCGGAGGGGAAUCAAGCUACCUCACAUUGGGGAUUUGAUUCCCCUCGUGAAGAGCUACGUCGUGGUAACUUCAAUUUUCAAAAUGGAUGAAGAAAAAUCGGAAGCUUAUCGGAGAAAACGUCGAUGUCAGGUCAGUGCAUGGAGUUUGCUUGAAUUUUGCAGGUUGCUUUAAUGGCUUGUUGGAGCUUGGUUUGAGCUCAUGGAAUCCAUUACUUGGAAUUGUGGACCUGUCUUGGAAUUUUGGUUGCUUGUGGUCAUGAUGUGGAAUUUUUUCAUGUUGGAUAUUGUUGUAAUUGUUUAUGUAUUGGAAUGAAUUUGGAAAUUGAAUGUAUGGUUGUAAUGGACAUGGUUUAUGGUUAUGUAAAAGGUAUUUGGAAAUUGAAUAUAUGUAUGGAAUUAAUAUUUUAUGAAUGAAAUGGUAUUAAUGUGUGUAUGGUUAU
This is a long non-coding RNA of Lathyrus oleraceus (garden pea), 457 nucleotides long. RefSeq lists it as uncharacterized. The record is from RefSeq and is a predicted model, not a curated record. The transcript has 2 exons. NCBI's taxonomy places the organism in Eukaryota, Viridiplantae, Streptophyta, Magnoliopsida, Fabales, Fabaceae.